UACGAAGGGGGCUAGCGUUGCUCGGAAUCACUGGGCGUAAAGGGUGCGUAGGCGGGUCUUUAAGUCAGGGGUGAAAUCCUGGAGCUCAACUCCAGAACUGCCUUUGAUACUGAAGAUCUUGAGUUCGGGAGAGGUGAGUGGAACUGCGAGUGUAGAGGUGAGAUUCGUAGAUAUUCGCAAGAACACCAGUGGCGAAGGUGGCUCACUGGCCCGAUACUGACGCUGAGGCACGAAAGCGUGGGGAGCAAACAGG
This 253-nucleotide ribosomal RNA is filed under the name uncultured bacterium. RNAcentral describes it as "partial 16S ribosomal RNA". It matches the Rfam family "Bacterial small subunit ribosomal RNA", at positions 524 to 776 of the family's 1533-position model. The record is from RNAcentral.